Molecule: long non-coding RNA, 217 nt
Filed under: Mytilus galloprovincialis (Mediterranean mussel)
Lineage: Eukaryota; Metazoa; Mollusca; Bivalvia; Mytilida; Mytilidae
Source: RNAcentral
UUUUUGACAAAACAAUGCACAUAUAUCGGGUACUAGCAUCAUUAAGUCAUGCUAAAUUACUGAAAUCUUCACAAUUUUAGCAUUUUAGUUAAAUUUAAGACGGUUUCUGUCUUAAAUGAAAGUGACCGCAUUUGUAUUCAUUCUUAAUAUUGAAAUGUAAGUUGUAUUUGAUGAUAAUAUAUAACAUCUAUAAAGGUUGAGGAUGAACACGGAUGCG